AGGUGAGUAGGGGCUGAAUGCGGCUGGAGAGGCUGCCAGAGGGGCGUGGCCGGGAGGGAAAUGGGGCUGGAUUCCAGAGCAUCGGACCUGGCCGCCAGAACCGGCAGUUUCCAUCCCAGGCAAUCGGACUCUGGGUGCCGGAGCCACGCCACGUGUGGCCGAGGGCUGGCGGAGCCUGCCCCCAAGGGAGCGCUGAGUCCCGGAGGUGGUCGUUUCUGGGGAGGGGGCUGUGGGGCUCGUCCCACCUGCCCCCUUCUUUCCAGCACUUGCAUGGCGCUUCCCUCUAUUUUCACUCUUGGCGGCCGCCCACACGUUGCAUUCCUCCUCCUUUCUUCUUCUUGCUGUCCUCCAUUCUCCAUUCCGUCCAAUUCCUCUCCCAGCCCCUGGGGAGCCUACCUUAGGUCUGAGUCUGAACCCCGAUCUGCUCUGAGUGUGUGGAUUUCCUUCAGCUACCCUGAUGUCCCCACUUCCCAGUCCUGACUCCUUUGAGCCAUCCCAGGGGGUGUCCAGCCACUGGCCCACAGGAGCAGAGGCCAGGCUGUGACUGUGUGACUAGAAAAGUGUGUGAUGUGUGUGUGGGCGUGCACACGAGUGUGAGAGUGUAAGAAUGGCACCCAGGCCCAGGCUAGGACAGGAGCAGCUGGGGAAGCAGCCUGGAGCCAUGGGCAAUCUGAUGGCUUUUUUCCUCCCCCCGCUUCUGGCCCUACCCAGUCUAAAGCAAUGUGGUAGGGGUGGCGGCAGGGGCAGGGAUGGGAGUGGCUGAAGCCUGCUUCAUUCCCAAAGAUUUCUAGGGAAAAGCUUUCUACUACAUCCUUUGGCUUGACCUUCUUGACCCAUAACCCUCUUUCAAGGAAGUUCACUCCAAUUCCCAGUCUGCCCUGUUUCCACUGGCCACAUUCUCUAAGGAAGAACACAGCAGAACAAUAGCAUCUGUUUUGUUUCUGCAUGGCUGGAGGGUAGGGCUGUGGUCUAGCACCCAUAAACCAAAAUGAGGCAGGGAUUGGGGCUUGCCCUAUGAUGCUCUGAUGACCAAAGCAGAUGGGUAGAGGCAAGCAGCAUGGUAUUGGGCAAGAGGACUGGACUGGGAUUCCAGAGAUGCUGCUUCACCCUGGGCCUUUAGACACAUCUCUUUCCCACCCAGAGCCUCAGCAUCCCUUCUAUCAAAUGAUGACAUUCUGCCUUUUUCCCAGGGUGGUUGUGGGGAUGGAGGGAGACAGUGGCUAUAGGGAUGCUGUGUUAACUGCAGAUGCAGCCAUAGGAGCACUUUUCUAACUGCCAACGUGAGUUCAGAUUCUUCAGGGUAUUUGGCACCCAGGUCUAUGGUGCGGUGUGAGAUAUGUGAUGUAAGGUUUGAUGCCUGCCCCAACUCCAGUCUUGCUAACACACAUGAAACAUUUGGCAAAUCAUGACCCUACCUUGGGGAAAAGAGCAGUCUGGGAGAGCUUCUUCAAGGCAACCUGACUUCAGUGCAGUCUGAGGCAUGGCUGAGAUAGGCUUACGUGGCAAGGAAUCGGGAGGGUAUCUGGGUCAAGAGCUGCACUGUGGGCAGAGGUGUAGUGUGGGCUGCAUCGAGGACAGCCACUGGACAAAGCAGAGAACAGAGACAGAAUGAGGAAGAGCUCUGUGGGGAGGGUGGGGCAUAAGGUGGAGAACCUUCAAAGUCCGAAAAGUUUGACUUGUUGGGGCUCAAUGCUGUAGGCAGUAGGGAACCACAGAAGGCUCUUAGGUGGAGAAAUGACAGCUGGACAUUAGCGAGCAAGCCCUAUCUCCAUGAGCAGCACGGGUGGUCCUCUGAGCACACCAGGCACGAGUGUGCAGGGAGCUAGUGCAAAUGCCUCUGUGUGCGGGUGAGCUUCUGUGUUGUGACUGCCCACACGUGUGCUUCAGUGUGCUGAGUGGCUGCAUGCCCCAGAUCCGUGCUGCACGCGCCGCCGGCCAGUAAGGGUGCUGGGCACUGGGAGGUGGCGGGGAAGGAGGCGUAUGCGUGUUGUUUGUGGGCAUGUGUGUUAGCGUGUGCAUGUGGGCCAUGGGGCCUCACAGCAUGUGUGUGCACGCCCGGGCGUGUGCGUGUGUGUGUCCCCCACCCCCAGGCCUGCCCCACCCGUGCGUGUGAACUGCCAUGUUGAUUUCGUGCUGUCUUUCAGAAUCACUAUCAGUGACCCCUGAGGAGCGUCAGCCAUGCAGGAAGGGCCCAGCCUCACCUACGCGACCUGCAGCCCCCCGACCAGCUGAGGCUCCCCUCUUAGACUUAUAAGUCUAUGGCCACUGGCAUCCGGCUGCCUGCCCUCCCUGCCUCCCCCAGGGUCCCUUCAGAGGGUCCUGGGUUUUCUGACCACCCAGAGGGGCCUCCGGCGCUCCCUCCAGCCAUCCUUUUUAGUUUCACCCUCCUGGUUCAAGCAGUGUUCUUUCUCUAUCAGGCCUGGUGGCUGUUGCGUGGGGCUCCCCAAGGCAAGGGGUGGCCCCAGGCCAGUGGGUUGGAAGACAGGGUGACCAGAGAAGAGGGAAGCCCGAGGGGGCCGAGCAUCAGCCUGAACGGCGGGUGCCCUGCCUGGGUGCCGUGUGAGAGGCCAGCGUGUGUGGGGUGGGGAGGGCCGCCACAGCCCCCAGGCGCUAUCUGUGAAGCUACGGCUCCUCCCUCCAUCUUCCUCCCCUUUCCCUUCCAGCCCCUCUUUUCCAGGAACCUUGCCACACCCACACCUGCGCCCUCCCCUCCCCGGCCCUCCCACCACUGCUGCGGCGCGGCCGGCUGGCCGUGUGCUGUGCUUGCCUUACCAGCUCUCUCCUCGCUUUUCUCUCUCCCGUUUUCUCUCUGCUUUCUCUCCAACUGCCAGCCGAUCGGGUCAGGCAAGUCCAUCCCGUCCUGAGAGCCCCAGGCCCCCCUUCGACCUCUAAACAGAUCCCUCCUCUUCUCGGAGACCUCCCUUUCCAAGCCUGCCUGGACGGCUGUUCUGUGACUUGACAGUGGCUCCCCCAGCCCCAAAGCCAGCCCCCUUCAUCUGUGACUUAGUCUGUUGUAGUGGUGAGCUGAUACACUCAGGUGUGACCGUUGGUGAAAACUUGUGCCCCUUCUGUGGUAUGCCCUUGCCCUGUUCUAUAUCUAUAAAUACUCAUAUAUAUACACACCUACACAUGGCCAACCGCCUCGCCUCUAGCGCUGGGAAUCAGUCACUGUGCUAUCCUUGUGGAGUCUUGUGGCCCAACUACAAGAGAACGCUGUCCCCCGCCAUCCCAUUCCAAAGUGUGCCACCUCCAGUGAGCCUCCUUGUCAUGCCCGGCCUGUGGACAGCCAGCCCCCGCCAUCCCUCCCACCCCCUACCAAGCAUGGGGGUGCUGUGCAGGCAGCCGUGUGGCCUGACAGUCUCUACCAGUCCUGCUGUCCCUCGGCUGAGAAUAAAACCCAUUUCUGGAUGAUGGGGAAUGUC
RNAcentral lists this small RNA (3422 nucleotides) under Pongo abelii (Sumatran orangutan). RNAcentral describes it as "retained intron". Lineage: Eukaryota; Metazoa; Chordata; Mammalia; Primates; Hominidae. The record is from RNAcentral.